GGAUGAACGCUGGCGGCGUGCCUAAUACAUGCAAGUCGAGCGAACAGACGAGGAGCUUGCUCCUCUGACGUUAGCGGCGGACGGGUGAGUAACACGUGGAUAACCUACCUAUAAGACUGGGAUAACUUCGGGAAACCGGAGCUAAUACCGGAUAAUAUAUUGAACCGCAUGGUUCAAUAGUGAAAGACGGUUUUGCUGUCACUUAUAGAUGGAUCCGCGCCGCAUUAGCUAGUUGGUAAGGUAACGGCUUACCAAGGCGACGAUGCGUAGCCGACCUGAGAGGGGGAUCGGCCACACUGGAACUGAGACACGGUCCAGACUCCUACGGGAGGCAGCAGUAGGGAAUCUUCCGCAAUGGGCGAAAGCCUGACGGAGCAACGCCGCGUGAGUGAUGAAGGUCUUCGGAUCGUAAAACUCUGUUAUUAGGGAAGAACAAAUGUGUAAGUAACUAUGCACGUCUUGACGGUACCUAAUCAGAAAGCCACGGCUAACUACGUG
This 498-nucleotide ribosomal RNA is filed under the name uncultured bacterium. RNAcentral's name for it is "partial 16S ribosomal RNA". It matches the Rfam family "Bacterial small subunit ribosomal RNA", at positions 27 to 507 of the family's 1533-position model. The record is from RNAcentral.